Molecule: ribosomal RNA, 258 nt
Filed under: uncultured bacterium
Lineage: Bacteria
Description: partial 16S ribosomal RNA
Rfam family: Bacterial small subunit ribosomal RNA
Source: RNAcentral
GAUCCUGGCUCAGGAUGAACGCUAGCUACAGGCUUAACACAUGCAAGUCGAGGGGCAUCAGUUUGGUUUGCUUGCAAACCAAAGCUGGCGACCGGCGCACGGGUGAGUAACACGUAUCCAACCUGCCUCAUACUCGGGGGUAGCCUUUCGAAAGAAAGAUUAAUAUCCGAUAGCAUAUAUUUCCCGCAUGGGUUUUAUAUUAAAGAAAUUCGGUAUGAGAUGGGGAUGCGUUCCAUUAGUUUGUUGGGGGGGUAACGG